CAAAUUAAAGCUUAAUAGAAGCAUUUUAUUUACAUUAAAGGGAUUAUUGUGAAAUUCAAUAUAAUUUGA
RNAcentral lists this transfer RNA (69 nucleotides) under Apoderus jekelii. RNAcentral's name for it is "tRNA-Val". The record is from RNAcentral. Lineage: Eukaryota; Metazoa; Arthropoda; Insecta; Coleoptera; Attelabidae.